GCUCCGGUAGUAUAGUCCGGUCAAGUAUUCCGGCCUUUCGAGCCGGAGACCCGGGUUCGAAUCCCGGCCGGAGCACCA
Molecule: transfer RNA, 78 nt
Filed under: Candidatus Bathyarchaeota archaeon
Lineage: Archaea; Thermoproteati; Candidatus Bathyarchaeota
Also listed under: 1 other name
Description: tRNA-Glu
Rfam family: tRNA
About the family: Transfer RNA (tRNA) molecules are approximately 80 nucleotides in length. Their secondary structure includes four short double-helical elements and three loops (D, anti-codon, and T loops).
Source: RNAcentral